This 535-nucleotide long non-coding RNA is filed under the name Nicotiana tabacum (common tobacco). RNAcentral describes it as "long non-coding RNA (NTAB_LNC007939)". The record is from RNAcentral. Lineage: Eukaryota; Viridiplantae; Streptophyta; Magnoliopsida; Solanales; Solanaceae.
AGGGAAUACAGUUCAAGUUUUGGCAAUCAGGCGCCCACCUGGAGAAACAGGGAAUACAGUUCAAGUUUUGGCAAUCAGGCGCCCACCUGGAGAACAAGGGAAUACAGUUCAAGUUUCGGCAAUCAGGCGCCCACCUGGAGAACAAGGGAAUACAGUUCAAGUUUAGGCAAUCAUGCGCCCACUUGGAGAACAAGGAAAUACAGUUCAAAUUUUGGCAAUCAGGCGCCCACCUGGAGAACAAGGGAAUACAAAUUCAAGUUUUGGCAAUCAGGCGCCCACCUGCAGAACAAGGGAAUAUAGUUAAAAUUUUGGCAAUCAGGCACCCACUUGAGAACAAGGGAAUACAGUUCAAGUUUGGGCAAUCAGGUGCCUACCUGGAGAACAAGGGCAUACAGUUCAAGCUUUGGCAAUCAGGUGCCCACCUGGAGAACAAGGGCAUACAAUUUAAGUUUUGGCAAUAAGGUAGCCACCUAGAGAAUAAGGGAAUAUAGUUAAAGUUUUGGCAAUCAGGCACCCAUCUGGAAAAUAAGGGAAU